Molecule: ribosomal RNA, 367 nt
Filed under: uncultured bacterium
Lineage: Bacteria
Description: bacterial SSU rRNA
Rfam family: Bacterial small subunit ribosomal RNA
Source: RNAcentral
GAAGGAUCCAAGCGUUAUCCGGAUUCAUUGGGUUUAAAGGGAGCGUAGGCGGGUUUAUAAGUCAGUGGUGAAAGCCGAUCGCUUAACGAUCGAACUGCCAUUGAUACUGUAGACCUAGAGUACAGAUGAUGUUGGCGGAAUAUGACAUGUAGCGGUGAAAUGCAUAGAUAUGUCAUAGAACACCGAUUGCGAAGGCAGCUGACAAAACUGUAACUGACGCUGAGGCUCGAAAGUGCGGGGAUCAAACAGGAUUAGAUACCCUGGUAGUCCGCACAGUAAACGAUGAUAACUAGUUGUUUGCGAUAUACAGUAAGCGACCAAGCGAAAGCGAUAAGUUAUCCACCUGGGGAGUACGCUCGCAAGAGUG